CGCAUCUGUGCAUGCAGCAUAUCAAUAAGCGGAGGAAAAGAAACUAACAAGGAUUCCCUCAGUAACGGCGAGUGAAGCGGGAAGAGCUCAAAUUUGAAAUCUUGAAAGGUCUACCUUGCACGAAUUGUAGUUUAAAGAAGUGUUUUCUGUGACGAUCUGGUAAUAUAAGUUCUUUGGAGUAGGACAUCACAGAGGGUGAGAAUCCCGUCUAUGAAUUGCGAUUUGUAGCUUUGUGAUACACUUUCAAAGAGUCGGGUUGUUUGGGAAUGCAGCCCAAAACGGGAGGUAAAUUUCUUCUAAGGCUAAAUAUUGGCGAGAGACCGAUAGCAAACAAGUACCGUGAGGGAAAGAUGAAAAGAACUUUGAAAAGAGAGUUAAAUAGUACGUGAAAUUGUCAAAAGGGAAGCGUUUAACACCAGUGUUGUUUUCUGAAAAUCAACCUCUGUUAGCUUUAUGCAUGUUUGUUUAGACCUAAUCAGCUAUCUUGCAUGUUCUAUUGUUUGCAGUGGUGCACUUUUCAGUUUACAGGUCAACAUCAGUUUUUUUUACCGUAAAAAAGUUAAAGAAAGGUAGCUCAUGGCUCCGGUCGUGAGUGUUAUAGUCUUUUUCCUAUGCGGUAGGAGAGACUGAGGUCUGCAGUGUAGGCUAUUUGGCUAGAUACUCAGGUGCUAUGUGAUACCAUUUCCAUAAACAACUUGUUGAUUAUGUUUUGUCUAUUGCAUACUCGCUUGUACUAUCAUACCUACGCUUAGGAUGUUGAAGUCAUCGUAUCGCGC
Molecule: ribosomal RNA, 776 nt
Filed under: uncultured Neocallimastigales
Lineage: Eukaryota; Fungi; Neocallimastigomycota; Neocallimastigomycetes; Neocallimastigales
Description: partial large subunit ribosomal RNA
Rfam family: Eukaryotic large subunit ribosomal RNA
Source: RNAcentral